Long non-coding RNA from Passer domesticus (house sparrow), 585 nucleotides. RefSeq lists it as uncharacterized. The transcript has 3 exons. The record is from RefSeq and is a predicted model, not a curated record. Lineage: Eukaryota; Metazoa; Chordata; Aves; Passeriformes; Passeridae.
AAUCACAGAACUCACAUGCCGGAUGUGGUUGGAAGGAAUCCACCUCAGUGGAUUAUCUGGUCCAAGCCCCCUGCUCAAGCAGGGCCAUUCCAGAGCACAGGGCGCAGGAUUGUGUCCAGGCCAGCAUUCUCUUGACUUCUUUGCCACAGCAGCAACACACUGCUCACUCUAUUGAGUGAGCAAUUGUUGUCCUCCUGCACUCCGAGGUCCCUUUUCGCAGUGCUGCUCUCCAGCCAGGUGUUUGUCUACCCGGUAAAAUCACCACAUAACAACACAAUUGGCAGCUUCUCUUCAGCAGAAGCGGAUUAUGAUGGCAGGUCAAGGCUAACACAUACUGCAGAACUUUGUGGUUAAGUUCAUAAUUCCUCUUCUGACUUCCCAUUUCUAAAAAAUCUCUUACCAUGAUUAUUCCAGAAUUCAUAUUUUCUGCUUACAAAACUACAUAAUAGGCUAAAUAAAAGAAAGCUAUGUAUACUUUGUGAUAAUAUCUUAAAGUAUUGUAAUCACUCCAUACCUGGUAUUAUUAGACAGUGAAAUAGUUUAUACUCUCCUCUCAUAACAGUUGUAGUCAGCCCCUGCAAAUAU